CUUCCUAAACUAAGCCCGAUUCCACCACGACCUGUGUGACUGAGAACCUACACAGACAUGUCUCCUGAGGUCAUUUCCUCAACUGUUUCUGUUCAGACAUUUCUGGAGAGAAAACUGUGAAACAAAAUGAAUGAAGAUGACAAGUUGUAGAUCAGACUGACAGACUCAGCAGUAGAGGGCAGAUAUUUGUGGGUGGAUGGUUCAGGACUGUGUAAAAGGCUUGAUUGUUGAGAAAACUUUAGGUUGUGCCACAUUUGUGAAACAACUAUUUUAAUAACAUGCUAAAAUAUCACCUCAUCUCAUGGGCAGUUCCUGAUUUUGUUCUGCUUUAAUACUUUUUAUUUAUAUCUUCCUUUUAACCACUUGGCAAUCUGAUGAAACUCAAAAAAAAUUGUUGUUGCAUUUGUAUGCAAGAGAUCAGCACAAUGUACCACAGGGACAGACAUUUCAUCAAUAACAAUAAAAACCCUUCCUUCAGUUAUAAUAAAAGCAGUUAUUCUGACAGGAGGAACCAGACUGAGGAUGAAAGCUCCUCCCUCCUCUUUAGGAACAGGUAAACAGGAAGUUGUUAUUAUUUUUUGUUAAGCUGUAAAACAGAAGUUACAAUGAGUAAGGAAGCAAUUAGACUGAGCAUCAUUGUCAAUUACAUCUGUUUUCUGUUAAAUGUAUAAAGAACUGAAUCUAUGAUAAAUAACAAAGGAAACAGAAUUUCAACAUUUUGUUGUGUUUUGUGAUUCAGAGACUGUUGGAUUAAGUCUGAAGUCAGGAUCUUGAAGUUUCAGCAUGAUGAGCCGUCCGCAGAGCUUCAUAGAAGAUGAAGCUCCUGACUCUCGGCAUGCAAAAUCAAAGAGAGGGUCAAAGGUCACCACAGAGAGAGUGGCCCUGCUGGUUCUCUGUAUCCUGCUGGCAGCUGCUCUCAUCAUUAUUUAUCGUCUCUCAGUUGAAAACAUGAGAACUAAAGAAACACUGAAAACACAGAACUACAAAAAUCCCUCCAGUGUAAACAAACCUCACUGACUGACUGGUUUGUUUGUUCCUUUUUAAUCAACGUUUGACAGAAUUAAAACUAACAAACAGCACGAAAACCUGAAACAUGACGAACUGAAGUGUGAAAGAAAUCUCACAGAGACUCUCUCUAAGAUAAAAUCAUGCAGCACGGUGCAGCCGACCUUUCCAGGACCUAAAGUAAUAAAUGAUCCUUGUUAUUAAUGUGAAGAAGGCUGGGAGCUACAUGGAGGAAAGUGCUAUUACUUCUCCAACAGUAAAUCAUCCUGGAAACAGAGCAGAGAUGAGUGUAAAGCUAAAGGAGGAGACCUGGUUAAGAUAGAGAGCAGAGAGGAGCAGACUCAGCAGUAGAGGACAGACGGCUUUGGGUGGAUGGAUCAUCACUGGAUCAAAAGUUUGAUUGUUGAGAAAAUAUAUUUUUUUCAUUUCUUGAUUUAAAGUUACCAGUUUUUACUGAAACAAUUCUUUCUGUUUUUCAUUCCUUAGUUUGAAGUUUUGGAAUCGCAACGAGCCAGACAAUUGGAAAGGGACAAAUGAGGGCAGCCCAGUGGCACUGUGUUAGCCCUGCCACAGACCAACCUGUCCAGAGUGUGUCCUGCCUCUCCAGUCCCGCACGAACCUGAACCAAAUAAGAGGGAGAGGAUGGAUGGUCCUUUGCCUCAUCAGCUGACAUUUCUCUUUCUGUUUAUACACACUAUUGUUUCUACAUAUACUUCACUACUAAAGAUGUUUUGUCAGCAUGUUAAUGCAUUUCUCAUCCGAGUCUUACAUCUCAUCAUAAACAGUUUGCAUGUUUGUCAGUCUCCCUCUCGCCUACUUUGCAGUUUUUUUUAAACAUUUCCAGUAAGUGAGGUUCAGUUUCUCAAAGCUCAAAACACACAAACUGAAAAGUGUUAACUGCUCUGCAAAAACUCCACAAUUUUUACAAAAUUAAACUCUUGUCUAGAAACCGAUUCCUUCUACCAAAACAAUACACACCUUAUUAUAUGGUCACAAGAGCAUCAAACAAACACUGAUGUAUGUAACACAGCCUCAUGUUUUGUCAUCAUGACAUCAUGUUACAUACUCAAAUGCAGAUGUUCUUUAUUUCAGGAAGUAUGUAGAAAAACCCAGUAACCUAGUAACAGAGCUAUUUUAUGUUUACAAACACAUCAACUGAGCGUUGA
Long non-coding RNA from Oreochromis aureus, 2171 nucleotides. RefSeq lists it as uncharacterized. The record is from RefSeq and is a predicted model, not a curated record. NCBI's taxonomy places the organism in Eukaryota, Metazoa, Chordata, Actinopteri, Cichliformes, Cichlidae. The transcript has 7 exons.